RNAcentral lists this ribosomal RNA (292 nucleotides) under uncultured bacterium. Its description in RNAcentral is "partial 16S ribosomal RNA". It matches the Rfam family "Bacterial small subunit ribosomal RNA", at positions 505 to 796 of the family's 1533-position model. The record is from RNAcentral.
GUGCCAGCCGCCGCGGUAAUACGGAGGGGGUUAGCGUUGUUCGGAAUUACUGGGCGUAAAGCGCGCGUAGGCGGACAUUUAAGUCAGAGGUGAAAUCCCGGGGCUCAACCCCGGAACGGCCUUUGAUACUGGGUGUCUUGAGUUCGAGAGAGGUGAGUGGAAUUCCGAGUGUAGAGGUGAAAUUCGUAGAUAUUCGGAGGAACACCAGUGGCGAAGGCGGCUCACUGGCUCGAUACUGACGCUGAGGUGCGAAAGUGUGGGGAGCAAACAGGAUUAGAUACCCGAGUAGUCC